This 274-nucleotide ribosomal RNA is filed under the name uncultured bacterium. RNAcentral's name for it is "partial 16S ribosomal RNA". It matches the Rfam family "Bacterial small subunit ribosomal RNA", at positions 523 to 796 of the family's 1533-position model. The record is from RNAcentral.
AUACAGAGGGUGCAAGCGUUAAUCGGAUUUACUGGGCGUAAAGCGCGCGUAGGCGGCUAAUUAAGUCAAAUGGGAAAUCCCCGAGCUUAACUUGGGAAUUGCAUUCGAUACUGGUUAGCUAGAGUGUGGGAGAGGAUGGUAGAAUUCCAGGUGUAGCGGUGAAAUGCGUAGAGAUCUGGAGGAAUACCGAUGGCGAAGGCAGCCAUCUGGCCUAACACUGACGCUGAGGUGCGAAAGCAUGGGGAGCAAACAGGAUUAGAUACCCCAGUAGUCC